AGGAAUGGAUGUCAGCCUAACAGCGUCGCAUCGUGCGACAACAGGUGACUGACCCACUUCCUGGAGG
This 67-nucleotide small RNA is filed under the name Solibacillus silvestris StLB046. RNAcentral describes it as "Bacillaceae-1 RNA". It matches the Rfam family "Bacillaceae-1 RNA". Lineage: Bacteria; Bacillati; Bacillota; Bacilli; Caryophanales; Caryophanaceae. The record is from Rfam by way of RNAcentral.